CCUACGGGGGGCUGCAGUCGAGAAUCUUUCGCAAUGGGCGCAAGCCUGACGAAGCGACGCCGUGUGAGCGAAGAAGGCCUUCGGGUUGUAAAGCUCUUUCGCUAGGGAACAAGAGAGAUAGGAUAACACCCUAUUGAUUUGAUGGUACUUGGUAAAGAAGCACCGGCUAACUCCGUGCCAGCAGCUGCGGUAAUACGGAGGGUGCAAGCAUUGAUCGGAAUUACUGGGCGUAAAGGGCGCAGUCGCAGGAGAAAUUCCGGGGCUCAACCCCGGAGCUGCAUUUGAAACUAUUCUGCUAGAGUUCAGUUAGGGUAAACGGAAUUCCACGUGUAGCGGUGAAAUGCGUAGAUAUGUGGAAGAACACCGGUGGUGAAGACGGUUUACUGGGCUGAAACUGACGCUGAGGCGCGAAAGCAUGGGGAGCAAACAGGAUUAGAUACCCGUGUAGUC
RNAcentral lists this ribosomal RNA (450 nucleotides) under uncultured bacterium. Its description in RNAcentral is "partial 16S ribosomal RNA". It matches the Rfam family "Bacterial small subunit ribosomal RNA", at positions 338 to 795 of the family's 1533-position model. The record is from RNAcentral.